GAACUGCGAUAAGUAAUGUGAAUUGCAGAAUUCAGUGAAUCAUCGAGCCUUUGAACGCACAUUGCGCCCCCUGGCAUUCCGGGGGGCAUGCCUGUCCGAGCGUCAUUGCUGCCCUUCAAGCCCGGCUUGUGUGUUGGGUCGUCGUCCCCUCCGGGGGACGGGCCCGAAAGGCAGCGGCGGCACCGCGUCCGGUCCUCGAGCGUAUGGGGCUUUGUCACCCGCUCGAUAAGGACCGGCCGGGCGCCAGCCGGCGUCUCCAACCUUUUUUUCUCAGGUUGACCUCGGAUCAGGUAGGGAUACCCGCUGAACUUAAGC
RNAcentral lists this unclassified non-coding RNA (315 nucleotides) under plant metagenome. RNAcentral describes it as "partial contains 5.8S ribosomal RNA, internal transcribed spacer 2, and large subunit ribosomal RNA". The stretch from base 1 to 105 matches the Rfam family "5.8S ribosomal RNA", at positions 50 to 154 of the family's 154-position model. The record is from RNAcentral.